AUGUGAUACACAAAAUUAUCCAGCGCAUUCAGAAGGACAAAGACAGGAAAAUAAAGAGGGAGGUGAUUAGAAAGUCGUGCCGUCUGAUACAAAACAAAAGGGUGGAGUUAUUACGAAGUAAUAAAUUUGGGAAGUGAUCUAAUGCAACCUAUGUGCUAGUUUAAUCUUAGUCAUUAGAUUAAAUUAAAUCCAACAGUUACGAUCAAUAUCUAAAUCUUUAUUUUGCUAAUAAAUUUAGAGCGUUAUUUCCAAAUUUAAAGUCAAAUUCGAAACACAAAUAUAUUCUCCCACGUUCCCUCUUUUUCAAGGCAUCUUAACCGCUCACUCAAAACUGUUGCCCUCUCCAAGACCUAGAUCCCUAAUCUUUCCCCUUCUCUCUGUAUGCCAUGAAAGCUUUUUUAUGAGGAAAAAGAGAAGAAGUGUUGUGAGAGCUUGUGUCGAAAUGCAUUAUUAAAGUACUUGUACCAGAAAAAGCUUUGUGAGAGCUUUCUCUCUUUUGUUUUUUUUCUCUUUGCUCGUUUUCCCUUUCCCUUUCCCUCGCACCCCUCUUCUUUCCCCCACCCUCACAUCCAUUGAAACUACUCCCACAAGUCCCUGCAAGCUUCUAUUGGCCCCAAGAAGAAGACCACGACAAAGAAGAUAUAGAUAAGUCCCCCAAUAUCUCUAUCCCUGAUGUCGCGGUCUCUCUAUCUCUCUUUAGGUAUCUCUCUUUACAUCCUUCUCCCCCUCUCUCUCAGUCUACCUCUCUCUAGGUUUAUGUCUCUCUCCUAUGGGGCCAUCUCUCUCUUUCUCUCUCUCUCUCUAGGUUGUUUUAAUUAUGCAAUGGGAACACAUGCUCUACGCUCUCUCUUAUUAGUUCAAAGGAUCUUGCAACUCAGACUUUGGUGAAUAACAAUAUCUAUCUAGUUUUCUCUUAUUUUGGAAAUCAUUUUGUCCAAUGGUUUACAAGAAUCCAUAGUAAAUGCGAAAUCAGUGCGAGUGAAUCAUUUGAUGUGUUUGAUUGGUUUUAAGGUGGUUCUAAUGCUUACAACUUUUAUUAAAGUUUUGCUUCUUUGAAUUUAGCUUCUGAGGGAGCAGUUAACUCAGAGGAUAAGUUUUAAGGUGGUUCUAAUGCCUACAACUUUUAUUUAGUUUUGCUUCUUUUCGCCUUCGAGGGAAUAGUUAGCUCAGAGGAUAUUGUUUAUAUCUGAAGACUGAAAUGUUAUUCUUAUUUCAAUUUGAUUUUGUUUUUAUUCGUUACAAUUUAUUCUUGAAUUACAAAGUUAAUUGCUGUAAUGUAUUUCGGAUUAGUUGGAUUGAUUUUAAUAACUAAAACAUUAUGGCUUAGUUUAAAUCAGAUACUAUUGUUUCUGCUGCCAUUUUUUGAGCUUUUUGUGUUAUAGAUCUACUUGAUUUGAACCAUUUUUUUAGUCUAAAAUUUUACAAUUAGAGAUGAAAAUAGAUUCUCAAGACAUCCUAUGAAUUUUUUACCCCAAAAUUACAUCUUAUGAUAAAAUUUGAUGGUGCACCUUACUUUGAUUGUUUAAGGUUUAAACCCUAGGUAAACCACACCCUCAUUAGAAACUUUCUAAUUUAUUUUAAAACAAUUCAAAUCCAUGCAGAGCAUGUGGACUCUGCUAGUCUCAAAAUAAUAACUUAAUGAUGACUUAUAUGUUGUUGUUACAAAAAACAACAAAGACCAUGAAAAUGUGUUCGAUUUGUUGUUCUUGUACUCCAGAUUUUGACUCCAUAAUACAUGAACAAAUUGAUUCAAAGAAUUCUUCUCCACAUCCAUUGGAAUUAGUUCCCAAGCCUCAAAGAAUAUUACCUUUGGC
Molecule: long non-coding RNA, 1814 nt
Filed under: Amborella trichopoda
Lineage: Eukaryota; Viridiplantae; Streptophyta; Magnoliopsida; Amborellales; Amborellaceae
Description: long non-coding RNA (ATRI_LNC002217)
Source: RNAcentral